GCCGCUACCGGCGCCCGGCCGCCUUUCGCUCCGACCUCCCACCGCCCCACGCGCCUGCUCCCUCUGCCUCUUCCCCCGGCCUGCCUCGCGUCCGCCCUCUGCCCCCAACUCCCGCGCGGGGCCGAUCCCGCCACCCGCAGGAGCGCGUCGCCGGCGACCGCGCCGGUGGAGCUCGGGGAGGUCGCGUCCAGGAGCAGGAGAGGCGUCCAGGAGCAGGAGAGGCGAUUGCUUCUCAAGCCUGUUCAAAUUGGUUUUAACCUGCGGCGGACACACAGAGGCGUUCGCUUGCCUCUAUUUAUCAGAGUCCGGUGUAUGGGGAAAUAUUGUCUCCACGCCGACUACAGAUGCGAUUCUUCUCCUAAGGCCCAACAUCCUGGCUAUGACGAGGACUCAAAUGUGAUUGUUCUUUCUGCAUACAUUGGCGACUUCAUGCUCCAAAUUGAGUCAAUGCGGCUAAGAAGAUUUUCUGUAAGAAAUUGACGGCAUAACAAGAUGCACCAUUCCUACAGAAAUUUCUAUACUGCAGGCAGGGGAGUUGGGUGGAAAUGGUUGGAUCUGAAACUCUGAGCACGUGAGAUCUGCUAAUGUGCUAUGUUGGUUGACCAGGAUCGGCAAGUUGAGGAGCAUGGUGAGGGAAUCGGUGAUAGUAUGCUGAAGCACGUGAAGCCAUGUAUUUUUGAACAUACAAACUGGUAGUGCCGUUCUUCUUCAACACAGCAACUCUGCUCACCGUUCCUCAUCCACGGUGCUUCCUCUGCUGCAGAAACAAAGCGAGUAGGUGAUCUGACUGCAGUGCAGUAACCCUGUAUGUAGGCACCCAGCAUCUAGUGCCCUCAACUAUUCCUUGUUUAUUCCAGGCACCAUCUAAACCAGUAGUCAUGCAUGCACUUUGUACCAUUCCUCCACUCACCUUGCCUUUAUGUA
Triticum dicoccoides is the source of this 924-nucleotide long non-coding RNA. RefSeq lists it as uncharacterized. The record is from RefSeq and is a predicted model, not a curated record. The transcript is spliced from 4 exons. Lineage: Eukaryota; Viridiplantae; Streptophyta; Magnoliopsida; Poales; Poaceae.